RNAcentral lists this transfer RNA (72 nucleotides) under Cidaroida sp. MNHN IE-20. RNAcentral describes it as "tRNA-Pro". It matches the Rfam family "tRNA". From Rfam's summary of the family: Transfer RNA (tRNA) molecules are approximately 80 nucleotides in length. Their secondary structure includes four short double-helical elements and three loops (D, anti-codon, and T loops). The record is from RNAcentral. Lineage: Eukaryota; Metazoa; Echinodermata; Echinoidea; Cidaroida.
CAGGAAAUAGUUUAACAGAAAGAACAAUAGCUUUGGGAGUUAUCGGUAUAAGUGCGUAUCUUAUUCUCCUGA